AAUAGAUACCCAGGUAGUCCAUGUCGUAAACGAUGUCUACUAGCCGUUGGGGCCCUUGAGGCUUUAGUGGCGCAGCUAACGCGAUAAGUAGACCGCCUGGGGAGUACGGUCGCAAGACUAAAACUCAAAUGAAUUGACGGGGGCCCGCACAAGCGGUGGAGCAUGUGGUUUAAUUCGAUGCAACGCGAAGAAUCUUACCUGGCCUUGACAUACAGAGAACUUUCCAGAGAUGGAUUGGUGCCUUCGGGAACUCUGAUACAGGUGCUGCAUGGCUGUCGUCAGCUCGUGUCGUGAGAUGUUGGGUUAAGUCCCGCAACGAGCGCAACCCUUUUCCUUAUUUGCCAGCACUUCGGGUGGGAACUUUAAGGAUACUGCCAGUGACAAACUGGAGGAAGGCGGGGUACGACGUCAAGUCAUCAUGGCCCUUACGGCCAGGGCUACACACGUGCUACAAUGGUCGGUACAAAGGGUUGCUACUGCGCGAGCAGAUGCUAAUCUCAAAAAGCCGAUCGUAGUCCGGAUCGC
This 525-nucleotide ribosomal RNA is filed under the name uncultured bacterium. RNAcentral's name for it is "bacterial SSU rRNA". It matches the Rfam family "Bacterial small subunit ribosomal RNA", at positions 777 to 1301 of the family's 1533-position model. The record is from RNAcentral.